AGUCACAGCGGGGCCGGCCU
RNAcentral lists this unclassified non-coding RNA (20 nucleotides) under Mus musculus (house mouse). Its description in RNAcentral is "oocyte_clustered_small_RNA10705". Lineage: Eukaryota; Metazoa; Chordata; Mammalia; Rodentia; Muridae. The record is from RNAcentral.